CCCAGACUCCUACGGGAGGCAGCAGUGGGGAAUAUUGCACAAUGGGGGGAACCCUGAUGCAGCGACGCCGCGUGGGUGAAGGAGUACUUCGGUACGUAAAGCCCUAUCAGCAGGAAAGAAAAUGACGGUACCUGACUAAGAAGCCCCGGCUAACUACGUGCCAGCAGCCGCGGUAAUACGUAGGGGGCAAGCGUUAUCCGGAUUUACUGGGUGUAAAGGGAGCGUAGACGGCAGUGCAAGUCCGGAGUGAAAGCCCGGGGCUCAACCCUGGGACUGCUCUGGAAACUGUAAAGCUGGAGUGCGGGAGGGGCAGGCGGAAUUCCUGGUGUAGCGGUGAAAUGCGUAGAUAUCAGGAGGAACACCGGCGGCGAAGGCGGCCUGCUGGACCGUAACUGACGUUGAGGCUCGAAAGCGUGGGGAGCAAACAGGAUUAGAUACCCUUGUA
This 445-nucleotide ribosomal RNA is filed under the name uncultured bacterium. RNAcentral describes it as "partial 16S ribosomal RNA". It matches the Rfam family "Bacterial small subunit ribosomal RNA", at positions 330 to 792 of the family's 1533-position model. The record is from RNAcentral.